CCUACGGGAGGCAGCAGUGAGGAAUAUUGGUCAAUGGGCGGAAGCCUGAACCAGCCAAGUAGCGUGCAGGAUGACGGCCCUACGGGUUGUAAACUGCUUUUAUACGGGAAUAACGCGCCUUACGUGUAGGGCUUUGCAUGUACCGUAUGAAUAAGGACCGGCUAAUUCCGUGCCAGCAGCCGCGGUAAUACGGAGGGUCCGGGCGUUAUCCGGAUUUAUUGGGUUUAAAGGGAGCGUAGGCCGCAUGACAAGCGUGCUGUGAAAUGUCCGGGCUCAACCCGGGCCUUGCAGCGCGAACUGGCGGGCUAGAGUUCGCGUAAGGCAGGCGGAAUUCGUCGUGUAGCGGUGAAAUGCUUAGAUAUGACGAAGAACCCCGAUUGCGAAGGCAGCUUGCUGCAGCGGAACUGACGCUGAGGCUCGAAAGCGCGGGUAUCGAACAGGAUUAGAUACCCUUGUAGUC
Molecule: ribosomal RNA, 460 nt
Filed under: uncultured bacterium
Lineage: Bacteria
Description: partial 16S ribosomal RNA
Rfam family: Bacterial small subunit ribosomal RNA
Source: RNAcentral